CGGAUUAUUGGGCGUAAGCGCGCGUAGGCGGUUUUUUAAGUCUGAUGUGAAAGCCCACGGCUCAACCGUGGAGGGUCAUUGGAAACUGGAAAACUUGAGUGCAGAAGAGGAAAGUGGAAUUCCAUGUGUAGCGGUGAAAUGCGCAGAGAUAUGGAGGAACACCAGUGGCGAAGGCGACUUUCUGGUCUGUAACUGACGCUGAUGUGCGAAAGCGUGGGGAUCAAACAGGAUUAGAUACCCCAGUAG
This 246-nucleotide ribosomal RNA is filed under the name Staphylococcus aureus. RNAcentral describes it as "partial 16S ribosomal RNA". It matches the Rfam family "Bacterial small subunit ribosomal RNA", at positions 548 to 793 of the family's 1533-position model. Lineage: Bacteria; Bacillati; Bacillota; Bacilli; Caryophanales; Staphylococcaceae. The record is from RNAcentral.